Molecule: ribosomal RNA, 334 nt
Filed under: uncultured eukaryote
Lineage: Eukaryota
Description: partial 18S ribosomal RNA
Rfam family: Eukaryotic small subunit ribosomal RNA
Source: RNAcentral
CCCUUAGAUGUCCGGGGCUGCACGCGCGCUACACUGACUGGCUCAGCGUGUGCCUACCCUACGCCGGCAGGCGCGGGUAACCCGUUGAACCCCAUUCGUGAUGGGGAUCGGGGAUUGCAAUUAUUCCCCAUGAACGAGGAAUUCCCAGUAAGUGCGGGUCAUAAGCUUGCGUUGAUUAAGUCCCUGCCCUUUGUACACACCGCCCGUCGCUACUACCGAUUGGAUGGUUUAGUGAGGCCCUCGGAUCGGCCCCGCCGGGGUCGGCCCACGGCCCUGGCGGAGCGCUGAGAAGACGGUCGAACUUGACUAUCUAGAGGAAGUAAAANUCGUANCA